RNAcentral lists this long non-coding RNA (942 nucleotides) under Phascolarctos cinereus (koala). RNAcentral's name for it is "lncRNA (ENSPCIG00000032564.1)". Lineage: Eukaryota; Metazoa; Chordata; Mammalia; Diprotodontia; Phascolarctidae. The record is from RNAcentral.
CUACUGAAUACCCCUCCCCACAGGUGGUCUUUGUCACUCUGCUAGUAAGUGAUGCUAUAGGUAACUGGUUUGGGUCUGGAUGGGGAAUUUGGAGGCAUGGCUAAGGAGUAUGGGGUGUGAUUGGGGUCAGGAAAUUUAAGGGAGGGGGGCCUAGCAGCCUAAAGGGCAAUGACAGAAAUGUGGGAAAAGGGGCUGGAAUUUGGGGACCUAAGGUUGACCUCUCCUGUUACCCCUAUGUACAUUACGCCUUUACCUGGAUCAUUUCUUGCUGUUCCUCCCACCCACCUCUUCCUUCCCAGAUGUCUUCUCUUAUGCCAUAUAAAGUAAAGGAUUUUGGCACAACCUCCCUUUGGCUGUUGCAUGCUCUUCACCCUCUCAACUCCCUGCAUCCUGUGAUCAACUUCAAACUGGGCCAAGUGUGGAAAAGAGAAAUUCCUAAAAUGAUUCAGAUUUUGGAGAUUUUCAAUUCAUACGUCACUGACCAUUGAUGAUGACGACUGGCUGAAUGAUCUUAUCAAAGCGAUGUUGAAGAAGAUCCAAAGCCUCAAGUGGUCACAACAGGGGAAGGAGAAGUCCUUCUUAUACAGACUCAUUGGCUAUACCCUGAGGGGCUCUGAAGACCAUAGCUUCGUGUCUUUGAUGUUGGCUGAUAUACUAAAUGGUGCUCAAGAGGAAGAGCUGGAAAGAGAUCUGAGGCCCCAGGCUCCAGGAAGGAGGCACAUGUUAGAAAAAGUUAGAGUAUUAGAGCAUAGAAUUUUUGAGCAAGGGCUUCAGACUCUCCAGUCAGGAGUCUUCUUUCAAAAAAAAAUACUUAUUGGUAUCUUUUAUUUUUACAAUCAGCUUCAUUUCCAAGUAUAUUCCUCCCCCUCCUCUAUCCUUUCCGGUGAACCAUGCCUUGUACAAAGAAUAAAUAAGAAACAUAAAGCAGUUCAGCAAAACUAA